GUACACGGAGGCAGCAUGGGGAAAGGCAUUGAAGGGCGGGACCCCGGAGCCGACUUGCUGCAGAUCCAAAAAGGCGGAGCUAGAUAAAGAGGAAGGGGUGGAGCUAGAACUGGACACCUCGGGGGUUUCCUGCUUUAUGGCGAAGGCGAAAAUGGAGAGACCCGGAAGGCGUGUGUGCGCCCGCCUCUCCCACAGGAGGGAGCGCGGAGACCCGGGAGCGGCCUAGGACCGGAGGCGCGACCCCUCGGCCCACCUUGAGGCCCGGCCUAGGACCGGAGGCGCGACCCCUGGGCCCACCUUGAGGCCCGGCCUAGGACUGGAGGCGCGACCCCUCGGCCCACCUUGCGGGAGCCGCCUAGGACCGGAGGCGCGACCCCUCGGCCCAGCUUGAGGCCCGGCCUAGGACCGGAGGCGCGACCCCUCGGCCCACCUUGCGGGAGCCGCCUAGGACCGGAGGCGCGACCCCUCGGCCCACCUUGAGGCCCGGCCUAGGACCGGAGGCGCGACCCCUGGGCCCACCUUGAGGCCCGGCCUAGGACUGGAGGCGCGACCCCUCGGCCCACCUUACGGGAGCCGCCUAGGGCCGGAGGCGCGACCCCUCGGCCCAGCUUGAGGCCCGGCCUAGGACCGGAGGCGCGACCCCUCGGCCCACCUUGAGGCCCGGCCUAGGACUGGAGGCGCGACCCCUCGGCCCACCUUGAGGCCCGGCCUAGGACCGGAGGCGCGACCCCUGGGCCCACCUUGAGGCCCGGCCUAGGACUGGAGGCGCGACCCCUCGGCCCACCUUGAGGCCCGGCCUAGGACCGGAGGCGCGACCCCUGGGCCCACCUGGCGGCCCGGCCGGCACAGCCCGCCUCUCCUCUCCAGGCCAGGGCCCCACACCUUCCGCCUGACAGCCAGCCAAGCUCUUCAGUCCCCCGCCCUCCACCUGCCAGGGAGGCUCCGGGCGUUGUACCUGCCACCACGGGGUAGGUCUGACGGAGUUUUGCUCUUGUUGCCCAAGCUGGAGUGCAAUGGUGCGAUCUUCGCUUACUGCAACCUCUGCUUCCUGGGUUCAAGUGAUUCCCCUGCCUCAGCCUCCCGAGUAGCAGGGAUUACAGAUGGAGCCUCGCUCUGUCACCCAGGCUGGAGUGCAGUGGCACAAUCUCGGGUCACUGCAACCUCCGCCCCCCAGCUUCAAGCGAUUCUCCUGUCUCAGCCUCCCGAGUAGCUAGGAUUACAGGUGCACGCCACCAGGCCUGGCUAAUUUUUAUAUUUUUAGUAGAGAUGGGAUUUUGCCUUGUUGGCCAGGCUGGUCUCAAACUCCUGACCUCAGGUGACCCAUCCACCUUGGCCUCCCAAAGUGCUGGGACUACAGGUGUGAGCCACCAUGCCUGGUCCCCCACUUGUUGAUUUUGCAGAAAAGAUAGCUGUGUUACAACCUGUCCUAAGGUCAGGUAUGAAUACUUGUGCUUCUUUCUUGGCUCCCCAAGCCAGAGGGCAUUCCUAUGCCCAGGUGAGAGAGCACGGAGUGUUACUUUGGCAGCACAGUCAGUUACCAGAGGUAGGAAAAGCAAAGGCCAGGCAGGACAUGAGGGGCCCUUGCACUGGCUGGUUCUCCCUGCCUUCACCACCCUCCAGGUGAAUGACUGGGUGAAUAAUGAUUGACUGAGGAGGUAAUGAAUAAUUUAUGGACACUGCUGGACCUCAGUCUCCUCAUCUGAAAGAUGAGUGGUUGGAGAAGUUUAAUGGUUUUCAAAUGCUUUUUUUUUCAGUCUUCAAAUAAGUGUUUACGUAGAAGCACCAUAUCUGAAACAGGUGACAGUGGACCAGUCUGAAUGAAAUGAGGGUUGGCAGGCCUGAGCUCCAAAACCUUCUGAUUGCCCAAGCCCUCCUUGUCUUGCUUGGAUUAUCUCCACACAAAUGGAGAAACUGGACAAGGUGGUCAUGGAGGUCCCUGAAAGCUCAAAGACUUUCUCAUUCCAGGAUUCCCCAUGUUCAUAUGCCAGCAUGGCAUGGGGGUGCUCUGUAGUCAAGCAGGGUCCUUUGGGGGGCUUAGGGAUGGAGCCAGGAAAUGGCUCUGGGACUCAGCGGGUGUCCAGAGUCUCAUCAGCAGGGUUUCUUUACUUUCACUGAGUGGCUGGUGCCUGCACACUGAGUUUUGCAGGCUUACUCUCACAGAGUGAGCUUCCUGCAGGCCCCCCACUGCAACCCCUUUCCUUCCUGGAGCUGUGUGCUGACUGGUGCGUGAGCACCCCAGGCCCUCUCCCCAUGCUGCUGAUGGUCAGCUUUCUCUGCACGCUCGUGGUUGCCACAGUCAACGCUGAUAAAAUUGCUGAUGCAGAUUGCCUGCCCAGCUGCGAGUGCUGGCACGGGACCAGCAGCCCAGACGGUCACUGGAAGUGGUUGGGCUGAUUAUUGGCAUCAUCUCCAUUGUCCUACUCGGUUCUUAAAGGCAUAUGGACUUGCCUCACUCCUACAGCAAAUGACGGCAUGGGCAAAGAGGGGCAACAGACCCACCCUGAAGACACUCCUCAUCUGGUUGACUUGGCAGGGUUAAGGGAAAAAGAUGUGAUGACUAGGAGCUGAGAGCUUAGUGGUUCUGCCAGAGCUGCAGAGUCUUUGUUGGCCUCAGGGUGGGACCUCUCACAUCUCUGUCAGCUUUUCACGGACACCAACCUGUUAUGAUUCAUUUCACCUGUCCUGAGCACUAGCAAGAAAAAUUCGCUGUAGCUUGUGAUGUAUUAUUCUGGAUUUCUCAACUCAUUCAUUUGUUCAUUCAUUCACUAUACCAUUACUGUCUAUUAUAAGGGGGGCACAAUGGUAGGUGCUGGGAAUAAAAACGAUGUUUAACGUUUCAUGAGGCUUCCCUGUCCUUAAGGAGUCCGCGUGUCUUUGUACCUGUCUGUCUGCUAGAUUAUUAAGUGACACUGUGAGAAGCUACUGAGAGCAGCAUGUGGGACAUGCAGAAGGGCAAGAGGCAGGAGAGAUGAUUCAUGUCGGAGGGGCAGGGGAGGACUGACGGAGAGGGUGAUGUUUGGCUGAGUCAUGAAGGCUAGUGGUAUUUUUCCAUGCAGAGAAGUGGGAGGAAAGGCAUUCUGUGUGGAGGGCACACAGUGUGCAAGGGCAGAGAGGUCAUUAUGUGAAGGCUUUGUGCUACUGCUUCAGAGUUGUGGAACGUGAUGUUGCAAUCUGGGAAAGACGCUGAUGGCAAGGGAUAGCAUCAUCAGGUUGUGCUGCCAUCCCUGAAAGGCCCAGGCUCAAAGGUUUUGGGUGAAGGAAGCCAGGAGGGUUAGAAAGGGAGGAAGAUGCCAGGGCAUCUGGUAAAAUAAAGCAUGUGUCAGGCUUGGAGUUGCAUAAGGCAGGUGCCCUGAGCCCAUUGAUGCAACUUCCAGCUGCUUUGAUGGAGCACAGGCUCAUUUGGAGAAUAGACCUUCUCUGGCCCUUGCCCACCCUGUUCACCUCCCAGGGCCCAGCUUCUCACCUGCUCGCCUUUGGUGUGGCUGGGGGAGGCAUAGGCCUCUGGGUAGUGCUGCCGCUCAAAUGGGCACUCGAGCGGCUCGAGGUGGUGCUGGCUGAAGGCAUCCGUGCGAAGGUGCUUUCGGGGUCCGCUGCUGCUGCUCUGUGAGUCAAUGCUUAGUCGGCAGCUAUCCUGAUCACCUGGUACCCCCCGGGAAGGAAGAAAGCUUUUAGGGGACCUAUCUAUUCAUGCUCUAGGCCAAAGUAGAGGACUGACUCCAAGCUGACUCACUGUGGAGGGAGAAAAAGGGCCAGCCACGUGGGCCCAGGAGCCUUGGCCAACUGAGGGACAGGACAUGUGACAGUCACAUGCAGAGCCCCUACAAAGUCCCAUAUCAUAAGUGGAAGGGUUUCUGUCCCCAUCAAAGCCUGAGCAAACUGCUCUCGUGCACCGCCCGCUGCCCUCCUGUCCCAGCACUCACUGUCAUCCAUUUUCCUCUUGUCGCUGCCAGGCUGAGCGAUGCCCAGGAGCCCAUUGAUGGAGUAGGUGGAGCCCAGGGAAUCCGACUGGGGUGACUCCGGGGGAGUUACAGCUGAGCUGGG
This 4041-nucleotide long non-coding RNA is filed under the name Homo sapiens (human). Its description in RNAcentral is "PREDICTED lncRNA (TCONS_00150648)". The record is from RNAcentral. Lineage: Eukaryota; Metazoa; Chordata; Mammalia; Primates; Hominidae.